This is a long non-coding RNA of Beta vulgaris subsp. vulgaris (sugar beet), 4174 nucleotides long. RefSeq lists it as uncharacterized. NCBI's taxonomy places the organism in Eukaryota, Viridiplantae, Streptophyta, Magnoliopsida, Caryophyllales, Amaranthaceae. The record is from RefSeq and is a predicted model, not a curated record. The transcript has 6 exons.
GACCCUCUCUCAAUUCAUGAAACCUCACAUUGAACGUGCUAAAAUAAUUUUCAUCUCUCCUCAUCAGACAUUCUCUCUCUCCAUUGUUUUCCCUCCCUCCCAAGUCCCCCGACUCUCUCAAUUGGACCCUCUCUUAAUUGAAACGUCCAUCGUCCCUCCCUCCGACAUCCCUCCUUCCCAAGUCCUCCCCUCUCUCAAGUCCGCCGCAGUUCAAUGGGUUGCAUGACAAGGCGUUGACCUCGCUAUUUCAAUGGGUUUUUUUUUUGAAUUACUCGAAUCAAUUCUAGGGUUUAAUCUAAUGGAACAAUCGAAGAGAGAGCAUUGGCCAAUCGAAGAAAUCGAAACAUGAAACCCUAGAUCCGAGAAGAAAAUCAAGAGCACAAAGAAUGAAACCUUAGAUUCGAAACGAAACUCAGACUAGUAAAAAGGACGAUAAAGAAAGCGAAAAGGAGAAGAAGAGACUCUGAAUUAGUUGAACCUAUUGUUCAUUUGAAGCUUAAAAAGCCUUAAUUAAUGGAUGAGAGGCGGAUGAAGAAGAUGAAGCGCAAAUCCCUAAUUGACUUUCGAAUUUUUGUUUUUUUACAGCCGUUGAAAUAUAUUUUCAUUUUUUUAAUGGAUGAUCUUUGGUAUGGCUAUGAAUGGUUGUGAUUUGGUCGCUCGUGAGCGAAUUGGCCAGGUUUAUUUUCAUUGUUGUUCAUUAGUUCAGUGAUUGAUUUCAUAUUUGUUCGCGAAGUUUAGUUUCUUUUUUUCUAUACGAAGUUAGUAGGAUUAAUUUUGGUUGAAUGAUUCUAACUUAGGGUUCAGUUUUUGCAGAACUUAUGGAACUAAAUAUGCAAACAUUUUGAGCGAGUAGGUGGCUAUCUGUCUGUUGGUAGAGAUGCUUGAUAGAGCUUGCAGAGUACAGCAGCAACAGAAGAUUAUUAGUCAGUGAAGAUUGACACACAAACUCUUUUGGUAACAACUUCUCUGCAAUGUGUUGUGUAAGUUAUAUAAUGAUGUUGAGAAACAUCAAAGCAAUUAUGUAUGGCUACAAAUUUGCAAUGUGGAUGUUGAUUAUAGCUAUUAAAAUAAUUUAUUAUGGGUUUCUAUCUUGCCUGCAGAGUCAUUAAUGCUCUCUUGCAUUGUUAUCUGGUUAUGGUUAAAAGCUAUUUAAAUGAAACAUGGGUAACCAUACUAUUUACCUAACUAGCGAGCUAAAAAAUGAAGUAUAGAACAACAACAACCUUAACACCAACCAACCUGUAUAAUACCUAGCAUGUUUGUUUACGAGCAAUUAUUGCUCUGCUAGUAACUUAUAACUCGUGUUCGGUUAUCUAAAAUCCCUUAUUCAAUAACCUUUAUACUGCUAUUAACUUAUAAUUAACUCGUUUAAGUGUAGUUUAUAUAAUGAAUUUGAUGGAUGCGGCAAAUAGAGCUAAAUGACAAAGUUUAUACAGCUACUCUAAAGGAGAAAGCAAAGGAGCCGUAAGAAGUAAAAACAUUUCUGAAAUUCUGGUAAUAUGUUCAAUUACUCACUUAUUGGCUCUUGAUUCAUACAUCUCACUAGCUACUACCUUUGUAUUAGCGAAAUCAAGCCCCACUAAUGUCUCGCUAUCACUAUAUGACUUGAGUCCUUUGGUGGUGGCUCUAAGAUUUUUUAUGCUUCCAGAUUUUUUUUUUCAUAAUAUUGCUAGAAUCUCAUCUUAGUCUAAUUAUUUCACAUACCCUCUAGUGUUUAAAUCGCUAAUUAAUAUUAUUGUUGUUUCAAAAUGUUAACAGAAUAUAUUCCCCUAAAAAAAAUGUUGACGCAAUAUAUGGAUUUAAGAACCAUAUGCUUGAAUUGCAUGAUUGGUGUUGCUAUUACUAACAUAAUAUUGUUGGUCUUAUUUGAGUGGACUCAUAUUUAUUGGUGCAUAUUAGCGUUUUAUCCUCUAAAUUCACUUGAUGAUGCUUCCACACAAAUGGUGAAGGGAACCUCAAAAACCAUACAGGUCAUUUAUUGGUCUCAAGAUGGCAGGACAGAGUCUUCCCUUACUUUUAGCAGUUGUAUAAAUUUAAUAUUUGUUACUACUUGUAGAUUCAAAUUUCCAAUAUGCUGUUUGUCCAUAAAAAAAGAUCAUCUAUAGUUUUCUCGUGGCUUUUAAGAAUGUUUAUGCGAUUAAAACGUAUUUUCCCUUGUUAAGUCUAGUUCAUAAAGGAAGAACUAUCUGGCUAAGCAAGCCACUUAUUGAUGAGGCAGAAGACUGCUAGGUUGGUAUAGGUGCAAUACUCUAGUUUCUACAAAAGAAAAUAAAAGUUAGGAAUGGAUUUUAUUAUGUCAAUGGUGUUUUUUAUCUGAAUUUGUUAGGGAACUUGACGUCGGCUGCUAGCUAUUACUGUUAUCAUUUCUUGAAGUGCAUGUUCUAAUAGCUUCAAACUCUAAUCACUAGUGACGCUAAACGAAUGAAACUGGUGAUACUUUCUUUUCUUCAAGGAUGAAAGUUUUCAAUUUUUCGAAAGUUGGAGAUUGUCAUAAUUUUAAAAUGGAUUACCUUUUUAAGUUCUACAGUACGAAGAAAUAUGGAUAAGAUAUAGAACCCUCACGUGUUUCUAGAUGUAUCAACUGGUGGGGAUCCUGUCCAAAGAAUCGUAAUAAAGGUAAUUGAGAUUUAACUCAUUCUUGUAUCUCCAUUGAUCCUUUCUAGUGGUAUAAGCAUUCUGAUUUUGCAUAUACAUAUAUCCUUAGUAUCUGACGAAGUUGGAGUUGAUCAUAAUUUUGAGAUGGACUACCUUUUUAGGUUCUACACUAUGAAGAAAUAUGGAUAAGGUAUAGAACCCUCAUGUGUUUUUAGAUGUAUCAACUUGUGGGGAUCCUGUCCAAAGAAUCGUAAUAGAAGUAAUGGUAUUAGACUCAUUCUUUUUUAAUUUCAUUGAUCCUUUCUAGUGAUAUAGGCAUUCUCAUUUUGCACAUACAUAUAUCCUUAGUAAGUUGUUUUGUUGAUAUGCUUGCCUGCAACUUUUGCCUGAUUUGGUUACUAAAUCUGUAGAAAACUUCUGGGUUCUCUGCACAGGUAACUCCUCUUCUUUUUCUCAAUGAAACCCUUGCGUCUUUCCUUUUCUUGAUUUUCUGCGUGUUCGCGUGAUUGCAACUCGUUCUGGCCAAGCAAUGAAAUUUCCCUUGUUCAAUUUUAAGAGUAUAAAAAUAGAAUCAAGAACCAUGACUCAGCCUUCUUUGUGGGUUUUUGCACUCCAUAUAUAUUUCACUGAAUGAAGAUAUCUGUUUGCUGUUUGUAUGUCUCAGGUGAGAAAGGUGUUGGAGGUACUAUGACGAAACGUUUACACUUUAAGGGAACGAAUUUCCACCUCAUAAUUAAAGGAUUUAUGGCCCAAAUUGAAAUGGGUCAGAAUCAGCAAUCUUCUUCACAGCAACAAGACCAGUUACAACAGCAAUAACUAUAACAGGACUUGGAGAACGGAGGACUCUCAGAUGGGCCAGAUGAUGUUGUUGCCGUUUUUCACACUUACUUUUGCAGUUUUAGGAACAACCGGAGCAUUUGAAGAAAUAAACAAAUACUCGUAUGACGUCUGCUACGGGUAGCAUUUGCGGGCUUUUUAACCGGAGCAUUUGAGUAUUUUCCCACUAGUGUGAGGUGUUGCAGUUUCUUGUGGAGAGAAGAAAUAUCCGGAUACAAGGAAAUUGAUCCAACUGUACAUUUUUUGAUGGUAAAAGCUAAGUUUGAAUUGUAUCUUAAUGAUAUUAUAUAGGCACUAAAUUUUGGUUUAAUAUGUUUUUUUUGCUUAUAGCAACCUGAUUUGGGUUCUAGUAUCAAUGAUGCACUAAAGCAAGGGGACCAAAUCUCUAAUUUUCGUAAAGAUAAGGAGAAAUAUUUAUCUUGCCAAGUUGGAGUUAAAGGCAGCAGUGCAUGAGACUAUUGAAACUGACGUAAUUCCUGUACUUGAGGAAGUGCCGAAAAAAAAGGAUAGAGAUGUGAAGUGAUGCCAGAGACAGGAGGCUUUUCUCAAUGGUUCUCACACCUAUGCAGCUGCAGUCACUCGUUCUUGUCGCACACGCAGACUUGCGAAAUAGACAUUUGGUAUGCUGUGAACAUGCUUCACUACUAGAACUGUCACUUGCUGUAAAUAAGAUAUUCACGAGUAAAUUGCGCAAAGUUUGCCUCUUCUCAUUAAAUGUUUAUAAAUUUUAUCACCUGUACUU